AAUCCAUAGGUUAAUGAGGCGAACCGGGGGAACUGAAACAUCUAAGUACCCCGAGGAAAAGAAAUCAACCGAGAUUCCCCCAGUAGCGGCGAGCGAACGGGGAGGAGCCCAGAGCCUGAAUCAGCAUGUGUGUUAGUGGAAGCGUCUGGAAAGGCGCGCGAUACAGGGUGACAGCCCCGUACACAAAAGCGCAUGUGCUGUGAGCUCGAUGAGUAGGGCGGGACACGUGGUAUCCUGUCUGAAUAUGGGGGGACCAUCCUCCAAGGCUAAAUACUCCUGACUGACCGAUAGUGAACCAGUACCGUGAGGGAAAGGCGAAAAGAACCCCGGCGAGGGGAGUGAAAAAGAACCUGAAACCGUGUACGUACAAGCAGUGGGAGCACAGGUUUACCUGUGUGACUGCGUACCUUUUGUAUAAUGGGUCAGCGACUUAUAUUCUGUAGCAAGGUUAACCGAAUAGGGGAGCCGGAGGGAAACCGAGUCUUAAUUGGGCGUUAAGUUGCAGGGUAUAGACCCGAAACCCGGUGAUCUAGCCAUGGGCAGGUUGAAGGUUGGGUAACACUAACUGGAGGACCGAACCGACUAAUGUUGAAAAAUUAGCGGAUGACCUGUGGCUGGGGGUGAAAGGCCAAUCAAACCGGGAGAUAGCUGGUUCUCCCCGAAAGCUAUUUAGGUAGCGCCUCGUGAAUUCAUCUCCGGGGGUAGAGCACUGUUUCGGCUAGGGGGCCAUCCCGGCUUACCAACCCGAUGCAAACUGCGAAUACCGGAGAAUGUUAUCACGGGAGACACACGGCGGGUGCUAACGUCCGUCGUGAAGAGGGAAACAACCCAGACCGCCAGCUAAGGUCCCAAAGUCAUGGUUAAGUGGGAAACGAUGUGGGAAGGCCCAGACAGCCAGGAUGUUGGCUUAGAAGCAGCCAUCAUUUAAAGAAAGCGUAAUAGCUCACUGGUCGAGUCGGCCUGCGCGGAAGAUGUAACGGGGCUAAACCAUGCACCGAAGCUGCGGCAGCGAACGUAUCACUUAAAGCGAUUCAGCGGGUUACGAUUAACGGAGCGAAGCGACGUCAAAGCGUAUACAAAGUCGAGUCGGUUUAAGGAUACGUUCGUUGGGUAGGGGAGCGUUCUGUAAGC
Molecule: ribosomal RNA, 1131 nt
Filed under: Salmonella enterica
Lineage: Bacteria; Pseudomonadati; Pseudomonadota; Gammaproteobacteria; Enterobacterales; Enterobacteriaceae
Description: partial 23S ribosomal RNA
Rfam family: Bacterial large subunit ribosomal RNA
Source: RNAcentral